This 253-nucleotide ribosomal RNA is filed under the name uncultured bacterium. Its description in RNAcentral is "partial 16S ribosomal RNA". It matches the Rfam family "Bacterial small subunit ribosomal RNA", at positions 524 to 776 of the family's 1533-position model. The record is from RNAcentral.
UACGGAGGGUGCAAGCGUUAUCCGGAUUCACUGGGUUUAAAGGGUGCGUAGGCGGGCAGGUAAGUCAGUGGUGAAAUCUCAGGGCUUAACCCGGAAACUGCCGUUGAUACUAUCUGUCUUGAAUAUCGUGGAGGUAAGCGGAAUAUGUCAUGUAGCGGUGAAAUGCUUAGAUAUGACAUAGAACACCCAUUGCGAAGGCAGCUUACUACACGAUCAUUGACGCUGAGGCACGAAAGCGUGGGGAGCAAACAGG